GAUGAACGCUGGCGGCGUGCCUAAUACAUGCAAGUCGAACGCUGGAGCUCUAGCUUGCUAGAUCGAAGGAGUGGCGAACGGGUGAGUAAUACAUAAGCAACCUACCCACGAAGAUUGGGAUAAUCUCUGGAAACGGGGACUAAUACCGGAUAGGUAAUCGGAAGGCAUCUUCUGGUUAUUAAAGGUUAAAAACACUGGUGGAUGGGCUUAUGGCGCAUUAGUUAGUUGGUGAGGUAACGGCCCACCAAGACGAUGAUGCGUAGCCGGCCUGAGAGGGUGAACGGCCACAUUGGGACUGAGACACGGCCCAGACUCCUACGGGAGGCAGCAGUAGGGAAUUUUCGGCAAUGGGGGCAACCCUGACCGAGCAACGCCGCGUGAGUGAAGACGGCCUUCGGGUUGUAAAGCUCUGUUGUAAGGGAAGAACGGUAGAUAGAGAAUAUCUAAGUGACGGUACCUUACCAGAAAGCCACGGCUAACUACGUG
RNAcentral lists this ribosomal RNA (486 nucleotides) under uncultured bacterium. RNAcentral's name for it is "partial 16S ribosomal RNA". It matches the Rfam family "Bacterial small subunit ribosomal RNA", at positions 28 to 507 of the family's 1533-position model. The record is from RNAcentral.